ACGGGUGAGUAAUAUAUCGGAACGUACCCAAGAGUGGGGGAUAACGUAGCGAAAGUUACGCUAAUACCGCAUACGAUCUAAGGAUGAAAGCAGGGGAUCGCAAGACCUUGUGCUCCUGGAGCGGCCGAUAUCUGAUUAGCUAGUUGGUGGGGUAAAGGCCCACCAAGGCAACGAUCAGUAGCUGGUCUGAGAGGACGACCAGCCACACUGGAACUGAGACACGGUCCAGACUCCUACGGGAGGCAGCAGUGGGGAAUUUUGGACAAUGGGGGCAACCCUGAUCCAGCAAUGCCGCGUGAGUGAAGAAGGCCUUCGGGUUGUAAAGCUCUUUUGUCAGGGAAGAAAAGGCUGCGGCUAAUAUCUACAGCUGCUGACGGUACCUGAAGAAUAAGCACCGGCUAACUACGUGCCAGCAGCCGCGGUAAUACGUAGGGUGCAAGCGUUAAUCGGAAUUACUGGGCGUAAAGCGUGCGCAGGCGGUUUCGUAAGUCUGUCGUGAAAUCCCCGGGCUUAACCUGGGAAUGGCGAUGGAGACUGCGAGGCUAGAGUUUGGCAGAGGGGGGUAGAAUUCCACGUGUAGC
This 581-nucleotide ribosomal RNA is filed under the name Oxalobacteraceae bacterium StRD715. Its description in RNAcentral is "bacterial SSU rRNA". It matches the Rfam family "Bacterial small subunit ribosomal RNA", at positions 102 to 679 of the family's 1533-position model. The record is from RNAcentral. Lineage: Bacteria; Pseudomonadati; Pseudomonadota; Betaproteobacteria; Burkholderiales; Oxalobacteraceae. RNAcentral also lists the same sequence under 1 other name.